UGGGGAAUAUUGGACAAUGGGCGCAAGCCUGAUCCAGCCAUGCCGCGUGAGUGAUGAAGGCCCUAGGGUUGUAAAAUUCUUUCACCGGGGACGAUAAUGACGGUACCCGGAGAAGAAGCCCCGGCUAACUUCGUGCCAGCAGCCGCGGUAAUACGAAGGGGGCUAGCGUUGCUCGGAAUUACUGGGCGUAAAGGGAGCGUAGGCGGACAUUUAAGUCAGGGGUGAAAUCCCGGGGCUCAACCUCGGAAUUGCCUUUGAUACUGGGUGUCUUGAGUAUGAGAGAGGUGUGUGGAACUCCGAGUGUAGAGGUGAAAUUCGUAGAUAUUCGGAGGAACACCAGUGGCGAAGGCGGCUCACUGGCUCGAUACUGACGCUGAGGUGCGAAAGCGUGGGGAGCAAACAGG
Molecule: ribosomal RNA, 404 nt
Filed under: Actinomycetes bacterium
Lineage: Bacteria; Bacillati; Actinomycetota; Actinomycetes
Description: Actinobacteria bacterium partial 16S ribosomal RNA
Rfam family: Bacterial small subunit ribosomal RNA
Source: RNAcentral